UUACUAUCUUUUCCAGAUGUGAACAAUCAUGCUGUUUGGAUACUUGUUCAGAGUGGAGGAACUGAAGAAAAAAUUGCUUUGCUGAAAGACUGAAGACUAGCAGAUCCAUGUUACAGUCCACGAGCCUCCUUAUGACAGAGAAUCAGCUCUAGCCGGUGGGUUCUAUGGAUUAGCUCAGGCAGUGGAUCUGAAAGGAUUUUCAGCACUCUUUCUGCUGCCAUUAGUGGUCAUCUGAUCUCACAGCAAGCUGGUUCAGAAAGCUAAACUAGAAGAAAGGUAAUUACUUUUUUUCUUUUCUUUUUCCUAAAAGGUUGAUUCUCUGCUGGUUAAA
This 331-nucleotide long non-coding RNA is filed under the name Struthio camelus australis. Its description in RNAcentral is "lncRNA (ENSSCUG00000009116.1)". The record is from RNAcentral. Lineage: Eukaryota; Metazoa; Chordata; Aves; Struthioniformes; Struthionidae.